ACCCGCACAAGCAGCGGAGCGUGUGGUUUAAUUCGUUGCUACACGAAGAACCUUACCUGGGUUUGACAUAUAGGUUGUAGGGAACUGAAAAGGGACCGACCCUUCGGGGAGCCUAUACAGGUGUUGCAUGGCUGUCGUCAGCUCGUGUCGUGAGAUGUUCGGUUAAGUCCGCUAACGAGCGCAACCCUCGUCGUAUGUUAUAUGUGUCAUACGAGACUGUCGGUAAAAGCCGGAGGAAGGUGAGGAUGAUGUCAAGUCAGCAUGACCUUUAUAUCCAGGGCUACACACACGCUACAAUGGUCUGUACAAUGGGUAGCCAAGCCGCGAGGCGGAGCCAAUCCUGAAAGCAGGCCUCAGUUCAGAUUGCAGUCUGCAACUCGACUGCAUGAAGCCGGAGUUGCUAGUAACCGCAGGUCAGCAAUACUGCGGUGAAUACGUUCCCGGGUCUU
This 449-nucleotide ribosomal RNA is filed under the name uncultured Anaerolineaceae bacterium. RNAcentral's name for it is "bacterial SSU rRNA". It matches the Rfam family "Bacterial small subunit ribosomal RNA", at positions 919 to 1382 of the family's 1533-position model. The record is from RNAcentral. Lineage: Bacteria; Bacillati; Chloroflexota; Anaerolineae; Anaerolineales; Anaerolineaceae.